Non-coding RNA from Leptonychotes weddellii (Weddell seal), 692 nucleotides. The record is from RefSeq and is a predicted model, not a curated record. NCBI's taxonomy places the organism in Eukaryota, Metazoa, Chordata, Mammalia, Carnivora, Phocidae.
UAAAAUGACCUGUGUGGAGCAUACCCUAUUUCUGUGAGGUAGCACUGGUGAGGGGAACUAGUCUCUGGGGAGCUCCGUGUCCCUGAAACCUUCCCUGAGGAAGUUGUCUUUGAACAGAUACCUGGCUGAGUAGGUGUUACACAGGGCCUGGUUUCUAUGUAUUUGAUUACUUCAGAUACCUCAUAACAAACCUUGAUUUUAGUCAAAUACAUCAGUGCCGGUUAAAGGAAACCAUACCUGAAGUGGAAGUCUAACGUAUGAGGAUACAGAAACUGCUUUGGUUGAUUCAGAAUGGGAACCACAAGUGAUGAGAUGGUGUCUGUGGAGCAGACCUCCUCCUCCUCCUUCAAUCCUCUGUGUUUUGAAUGUGGCCAGCAGCACUGGACAAGAGAGAACCACUUAUACAAUUACCAGAAUGAAGUAGAUGACGACCUGGUCUGCCAUAUUUGCCUUCAGCCUCUGUUGCAGCCACUAGACACCCCCUGUGGACACACGUUCUGCUGCAAGUGCCUCAGAAACUUCUUACAGGAGAAGGACUUUUGUCCAUUGGACCGGAAGAGACUCCACUUUAAGUUGUGUAAGAAGUCUAGUAUUCUAGUUCAUAAGCUUCUGGACAAAUUAUUAGUGUUAUGUCCAUUUUCUUCAGUGUGCCAAGAUGUCAUGCAACGCUGUGAUCUGGAAGCACAUCUUAA